This 287-nucleotide ribosomal RNA is filed under the name uncultured Latescibacterota bacterium. RNAcentral's name for it is "uncultured Latescibacteria bacterium partial 16S ribosomal RNA". It matches the Rfam family "Bacterial small subunit ribosomal RNA", at positions 1097 to 1382 of the family's 1533-position model. Lineage: Bacteria; Pseudomonadati; Candidatus Latescibacterota. The record is from RNAcentral.
CGUUACCCCCGUAACGGUUUGCCAUCAGGUAAAGCUGGGAACUCUGGGGAGACUGCCGGUGAUAAAACCGGAGGAAAGGCGGGGAUGACGUCAAGUCCUCAUGGCCCUUACAUCCGGGCUACACACGUGCUACAAUGGCAGGUACAGAGGGCUGCGAAGCCGCGAGGUGGAGCGAAUCCCAGAAAACCUGUCUCAGUCCGGAUUGAAGUCUGCAACUCGACUUCAUGAAGGCGGAAUCGCUAGUAACCGCGAAUCAGCAGGUCGCGGUGAAUACGUUCCCGGGCCUU